This 253-nucleotide ribosomal RNA is filed under the name uncultured bacterium. RNAcentral's name for it is "partial 16S ribosomal RNA". It matches the Rfam family "Bacterial small subunit ribosomal RNA", at positions 524 to 776 of the family's 1533-position model. The record is from RNAcentral.
UACAGAGGUCUCAAGCGUUGUUCGGAUUCAUUGGGCGUAAAGGGUGCGUAGGCGGCGCGGUAAGUCGGGUGUGAAAUCUUGGAGCUUAACUCCGAAACUGCAUUCGAUACUGCCGUGCUUGAGGACUGGAGAGGAGACUGGAAUUUACGGUGUAGCGGUGAAAUGCGUAGAUAUCGGUAGGAACACCAGUGGCGAAGGCGGUCUCCUGGGGCAUUCUUGACGCUGAGGCGCGAAAGCUGGGGGAGCAAACGGG